AAAAAUUUAGUUAAAUUUAUAACAUUAAUAUGUCAUAUUAAAAUUAUUAAGCUUUAAUAUUUUUUU
Molecule: transfer RNA, 66 nt
Filed under: Prosaspicera validispina
Lineage: Eukaryota; Metazoa; Arthropoda; Insecta; Hymenoptera; Figitidae
Description: tRNA-Asp
Source: RNAcentral